This is a small nucleolar RNA of Argiope bruennichi, 116 nucleotides long. RefSeq annotates it as small nucleolar RNA snoR104. The transcript has a single exon. NCBI's taxonomy places the organism in Eukaryota, Metazoa, Arthropoda, Arachnida, Araneae, Araneidae. The record is from RefSeq and is a predicted model, not a curated record.
GGAGGUGCAGUUGAAGUGGUAUUGUUCCUCCGAUACAACUUUCCAAUAUUAAAUGACUUAAAGAACAUGUUCCUAAAGUUUAAGUUAAUUUUGGAACCUACAUUUAAGUCAAUAAA